UUCAACUAUAUAUUCAUAAAGCUUAAUAUUAGGCAUUGGCAAACAAAAUUAAAAAUAUGGAGAGAUUUAUUGCCAUUGUAGAUAUGUCCAACAGGUUCCGAGGUCAAUCCCUCACUUCAUGUGCAAAACAUGUUAAUGGUAAUGUUGCAGAACAAAGUGUGGGUGGAAAUGAAACAGGAAACACACAAGGACCAGUGUUACAUGAAACAAGAGCUAAAACAGCAACACCUCCAGUGAAACCAGCUUCUCCUAAGACUGGUUGAAUUAUUAAUUACUCAUAUCGUCCUGAUUUAUGUUAUGUAAUUUGACUUAUUAUAAAAUUUAAUAAAUAAAGAAAAAUCUAUAAAUAAAGUUUUCUUAAAUGGAGUGGUUAAAAUAAAUCUACAAAUAUAAAUAUUGAGUUUGUUAUAUUCUGAAAAAGUUUACUUGUAUUUUUCUCAAUUUAUAUACCUAUAGUAUUUG
Molecule: long non-coding RNA, 462 nt
Organism: Solanum stenotomum
Lineage: Eukaryota; Viridiplantae; Streptophyta; Magnoliopsida; Solanales; Solanaceae
Exons: 3
Source: RefSeq, a predicted model, not a curated record